Molecule: ribosomal RNA, 492 nt
Filed under: uncultured bacterium
Lineage: Bacteria
Description: partial 16S ribosomal RNA
Rfam family: Bacterial small subunit ribosomal RNA
Source: RNAcentral
AGUGAACGCUGGCGGUAGGCCUAACACAUGCAAGUCGAACGGCAGCACAGUAAGAGCUUGCUCUUACGGGUGGCGAGUGGCGGACGGGUGAGGAAUACAUCGGAAUCUACUCUUUCGUGGGGGAUAACGUAGGGAAACUUACGCUAAUACCGCAUCCGACCUACGGGUGAAAGCAGGGGAUCUUCGGACCUUGCGCGAUUGAAUGAGCCGAUGUGGGAUUAGCUGGUUGGCGGGGUAAUGGCCCACCAAGGCGACGAUCGGUUGCUGGUCUGAGAGGAGGAUCAGCCGCACGGGAACUUAGACACGGUCCAGACUCCUACGGGAGGCCGCAGUCGGGAAUAGUGGGCAAAGGGCGCAAGCCUGACCCAGCCAUACCGCGUGUGUGAAGAAGGCCUUGGGGUUGUAAAGCCCUUUUGUUGGGAAAGAAAAGCAGUAGGUUAAUACCACGCGGUUCUGACGGUACCCAAUGAAUAAGCACCGGCUAACUUCGUG